Molecule: long non-coding RNA, 280 nt
Organism: Portunus trituberculatus (swimming crab)
Lineage: Eukaryota; Metazoa; Arthropoda; Malacostraca; Decapoda; Portunidae
Exons: 3
Source: RefSeq, a predicted model, not a curated record
UUUACAUCAACACUCGAGAGUCAUACUACUGCCAGUGCUGGCCAUGCAGUGUACAGACUCGUGUCAGAAAGUUCAAGUGUGAAGACGUUGAUGAGUGCGUGGAGUCGCUUAGAUCCUCUCCCUGUGGACCAUCCCCUCAGCAGUGUUCGAUCCGCCCAGCAGCAGCAACGGUCAGGAGAAGGCGGUCAUUGAAGUGUCAACUCCCCAAGCUGGCACGGUGGAUUCAGUACUACUAACGCCAAAGAAGUGAGGCAAGUUUUUGGAGUGAGCGUGCAUGACA